Molecule: long non-coding RNA, 179 nt
Organism: Callorhinchus milii (elephant shark)
Lineage: Eukaryota; Metazoa; Chordata; Chondrichthyes; Chimaeriformes; Callorhinchidae
Exons: 3
Source: RefSeq, a predicted model, not a curated record
CAGACACCUGGCUUACCCAACAGGAGCAGCCUCCAGUGCUGUCCGCUGAUGGAGAGACUCUGUUCCUGAUCACUCCCACUAAACAGGGCAACCAGCGAGACUUCCAGCAUGUGGUCAUGUUUGUACCUCAGUUAUUUCCAGAGCACAGAAGCCUCCGCCAGAUCAACACACCUGUACAG